This 74-nucleotide transfer RNA is filed under the name Lariscus insignis (three-striped ground squirrel). Its description in RNAcentral is "tRNA-Gly". Lineage: Eukaryota; Metazoa; Chordata; Mammalia; Rodentia; Sciuridae. The record is from RNAcentral.
GCUCUUUUAGUANUUNCAAUCAGUAUAGCUGACUUCCAAUCAGCCGGUCCUAGANAAUAACCUAGGAAAGAGUA